This 499-nucleotide ribosomal RNA is filed under the name uncultured bacterium. RNAcentral's name for it is "partial 16S ribosomal RNA". It matches the Rfam family "Bacterial small subunit ribosomal RNA", at positions 30 to 523 of the family's 1533-position model. The record is from RNAcentral.
AUUGAACGCUGGCGGCAUGCCUUACACAUGCAAGUCGAACGGCAGCACGGGAGCAAUCCUGGUGGCGAGUGGCGAACGGGUGAGUAAAGUAUCGGAACGUGCCCAGUCGUGGGGAUAACGUAGCGAAAGUUACGCUAAUACCGCAUACGAUCUAUGGAUGAAAGCGGGGGAUCGCAAGACCUCGCGCGAUUGGAGCGGCCGAUAUCAGAUUAGGUAGUUGGUGGGGUAAAGGCUCACCAAGCCGACGAUCUGUAGCUGGUCUGAGAGGACGACCAGCCACACUGGGACUGAGACACGGCCCAGACUCCUACGGGAGGCAGCAGUGGGGAAUUUUGGACAAUGGGCGAAAGCCUGAUCCAGCCAUGCCGCGUGCAGGAUGAAGGCCUUCGGGUUGUAAACUGCUUUUGUACGGAACGAAAAGGUUUGGCCUAAUAAGCUGAGCUCAUGACGGCACCGUAAGAAUAAGCACCGGCUAACUACGUGCCAGCAGCCGCGGUAA